GGUUGUGGCUCAGUGGCAGAGCACUUGCCUAGCAUGUGUGAGGCCCUGCAUUCAAUUCUCAGCACCA
RNAcentral lists this transfer RNA (67 nucleotides) under Marmota monax (woodchuck). RNAcentral describes it as "tRNA.Ala". The record is from RNAcentral. Lineage: Eukaryota; Metazoa; Chordata; Mammalia; Rodentia; Sciuridae.